Molecule: ribosomal RNA, 207 nt
Filed under: uncultured delta proteobacterium
Lineage: Bacteria; Deltaproteobacteria
Also listed under: 1 other name
Description: partial 16S ribosomal RNA
Rfam family: Bacterial small subunit ribosomal RNA
Source: RNAcentral
CGUGUAGGCGGUUUGUUAAGUCUGGUGUGAAAGCCCUGGGCUCAACCUGGGAAGUGCAUUGGAUACUGGCAAACUUGAGUACGGGAGAGGAUAGUGGAAUUUCGAGUGUAGGGGUGAAAUCCGUAGAUAUUCGAAGGAACACCGGUGGCGAAGGCGGCUAUCUGGACCGAUACUGACGCUGAGACGCGAAAGCGUGGGGAGCAAACA